CCUACGGGAGACAGCAGUGGGGAAUAUUGGACAAUGGGGGGAACCCUGAUCCAGCGACGCCGCGUGAGUGAAGAAGUAUUUCGGUAUGUAAAGCUCUAUCAGCAGGGAAGAAAGAAAUGACGGUACCUGACUAAGAAGCCCCGGCUAACUACGUGCCAGCAGCCGCGGUACUACGUAGGGGGCAAGCGUUAUCCGGAUUUACUGGGUGUAAAGGGAGCGUAGACGGCGAUGCAAGUCUGAAGUGAAAGGCGGGGGCCCAACCCCCGGACUGCUUUGGAAACUGUAUGGCUGGAGUGCAGGAGAGGGAAGUGGAAUUCCUAGUGUAGCGGUGAAAUGCGUAGAUAUUAGGAGGAACACCAGUGGCGAAGGCGGCUUACUGGACUGUAACUGACGUUGAGGCUCGAAAGCGUGGGGAGCAAACAGGAUUAGAUACCCUAGUAGUC
This 443-nucleotide ribosomal RNA is filed under the name uncultured bacterium. RNAcentral describes it as "partial 16S ribosomal RNA". It matches the Rfam family "Bacterial small subunit ribosomal RNA", at positions 338 to 795 of the family's 1533-position model. The record is from RNAcentral.